This 1440-nucleotide ribosomal RNA is filed under the name uncultured organism. RNAcentral describes it as "SSU rRNA". It matches the Rfam family "Bacterial small subunit ribosomal RNA". The record is from RNAcentral.
CGCUAGCUACAGGCUUAACACAUGCAAGUCGAGGGGCAGCAUGGUCUUAGCUUGCUAAGGCCGAUGGCGACCGGCGCACGGGUGAGUAACACGUAUCCAACCUGCCGUCUACUCUUGGACAGCCUUCUGAAAGGAAGAUUAAUACAAGAUGGCAUCAUGAGUCCGCAUGUUCACAUGAUUAAAGGUAUUCCGGUAGACGAUGGGGAUGCGUUCCAUUAGAUAGUAGGCGGGGUAACGGCCCACCUAGUCUUCGAUGGAUAGGGGUUCUGAGAGGAAGGUCCCCCACAUUGGAACUGAGACACGGUCCAAACUCCUACGGGAGGCAGCAGUGAGGAAUAUUGGUCAAUGGGCGAGAGCCUGAACCAGCCAAGUAGCGUGAAGGAUGACUGCCCUAUGGGUUGUAAACUUCUUUUAUAAAGGAAUAAAGUCGGGUAUGGAUACCCGUUUGCAUGUACUUUAUGAAUAAGGAUCGGCUAACUCCGUGCCAGCAGCCGCGGUAAUACGGAGGAUCCGAGCGUUAUCCGGAUUUAUUGGGUUUAAAGGGAGCGUAGAUGGAUGUUUAAGUCAGUUGUGAAAGUUUGCGGCUCAACCGUAAAAUUGCAGUUGAUACUGGAUAUCUUGAGUGCAGUUGAGGUAGGCGGAAUUCGUGGUGUAGCGGUGAAAUGCUUAGAUAUCACGAAGAACUCCGAUUGCGAAGGCAGCCUGCCUAAGCUGCAACUGACAUUGAGGCUCGAAAGUGUGGGUAUCAAACAGGAUUAGAUACCCUGGUAGUCCACACGGUAAACGAUGAAUACUCGCUGUUUGCGAUAUACAGCAAGCGGCCAAGCGAAAGCGUUAAGUAUUCCACCUGGGGAGUACGCCGGCAACGGUGAAACUCAAAGGAAUUGACGGGGGCCCGCACAAGCGGAGGAACAUGUGGUUUAAUUCGAUGAUACGCGAGGAACCUUACCCGGGCUUAAAUUGCAGAUGAAUUACGGUGAAAGCCGUAAGCCGCAAGGCAUCUGUGAAGGUGCUGCAUGGUUGUCGUCAGCUCGUGCCGUGAGGUGUCGGCUUAAGUGCCAUAACGAGCGCAACCCUUGUUGUCAGUUACUAACAGGUUCCGCUGAGGACUCUGACAAGACUGCCAUCGUAAGAUGUGAGGAAGGUGGGGAUGACGUCAAAUCAGCACGGCCCUUACGUCCGGGGCUACACACGUGUUACAAUGGGGGGUACAGAGGGCCGCUACCACGCGAGUGGAUGCCAAUCCCCAAAACCUCUCUCAGUUCGGACUGGAGUCUGCAACCCGACUCCACGAAGCUGGAUUCGCUAGUAAUCGCGCAUCAGCCACGGCGCGGUGAAUACGUUCCCGGGCCUUGUACACACCGCCCGUCAAGCCAUGGGAGCCGGGGGUACCUGAAGUGCGUAACCGCGAGGAGCGCCCUAGGGUAAAACUGGUGACUG